This 497-nucleotide ribosomal RNA is filed under the name uncultured bacterium. RNAcentral's name for it is "partial 16S ribosomal RNA". It matches the Rfam family "Bacterial small subunit ribosomal RNA", at positions 28 to 507 of the family's 1533-position model. The record is from RNAcentral.
GUCGAACGCUGGCGGCGUGCCUAAUACAUGCAAGUUGAGCGCUGAAGGUUGGUACUUGUACCAACUGGAUGAGCAGCGAACGGGUGAGUAACGCGUGGGGAAUCUGCCUUUGAGCGGGGGACAACAUUUGGAAACGAAUGCUAAUACCGCAUAAAAACUUUAAACACAAGUUUUAAGUUUGAAAGAUGCAAUUGCAUCACUCAAAGAUGAUCCCGCGUUGUAUUAGCUAGUUGGUGAGGUAAAGGCUCACCAAGGCGAUGAUACAUAGCCGACCUGAGAGGGUGAUCGGCCACAUUGGGACUGAGACACGGCCCAAACUCCUACGGGAGGCAGCAGUAGGGAAUCUUCGGCAAUGGACGAAAGUCUGACCGAGCAACGCCGCGUGUGUGAAGAAGGUUUUCGGAUCGUAAAACUCUGUUGGUAGAGAAGAACGUUGGUGGGAGUGGAAAGCUCAUCAAGUGACGGUAACUACCCAGAAAGGGACGGCUAACUACAUG